CGGUUGUAGUAUAGCCUGGUUAGUAUGUGGGGUUUCCAACCCUAUGACCCGGGUUCAACUCCCGGCAACCG
This 71-nucleotide transfer RNA is filed under the name Nitrosopumilales archaeon. RNAcentral's name for it is "tRNA-Gly". It matches the Rfam family "tRNA". Rfam says of the family: Transfer RNA (tRNA) molecules are approximately 80 nucleotides in length. Their secondary structure includes four short double-helical elements and three loops (D, anti-codon, and T loops). Further hydrogen bonds mediate the characteristic L-shaped molecular structure. tRNAs have two regions of fundamental functional importance: the anti-codon, which is responsible for specific mRNA codon recognition, and the 3' end, to which the tRNAs corresponding amino acid is attached (by aminoacyl-tRNA synthetases). tRNAs cope with the degeneracy of the genetic code in two manners: having more than one tRNA (with a specific anti-codon) for a particular amino acid; and 'wobble' base-pairing, i.e. permitting non-standard base-pairing at the 3rd anti-codon position. The record is from RNAcentral. Lineage: Archaea; Thermoproteati; Nitrososphaerota; Nitrososphaeria; Nitrosopumilales.